CUCAGCUAAGAGAAACCAGCUCAUUUAUUCUGAUGGACGCCAGAGAGAUGGCCCAAGCUUCUUUCUCAUCUUCAGCACUGCAUCUAUCACCACAGCAAGCUGGGUCCUCAAGCAUCCACCAGAAUGCUAUAAAAUAUGAAGUUUAGCACCAAGUUUUGGGGAGACAUGGUUGACCAGUGAAGAAGGCUUGCUGCUUUUCCAGAGAACCUGAGUUCAGUUCCCAGUACCCAUAUCAGACCACUCACGACUGCCUGUAACUACAGCUUCAGAGGGUCUGACACCCUCUUCUGGCCUCUCUGUACACCUACACUCCCAUGCAAAUGCACACAUACAUAUAAUUAAAAAAUAAAUCUUA
RNAcentral lists this long non-coding RNA (355 nucleotides) under Mus caroli (Ryukyu mouse). RNAcentral's name for it is "lncRNA (MGP_CAROLIEiJ_G0006003.1)". The record is from RNAcentral. Lineage: Eukaryota; Metazoa; Chordata; Mammalia; Rodentia; Muridae.